Molecule: RNA transcript, 2830 nt
Organism: Pundamilia nyererei
Lineage: Eukaryota; Metazoa; Chordata; Actinopteri; Cichliformes; Cichlidae
Gene: mbnl2
Gene name: muscleblind-like splicing regulator 2
Exons: 12
Source: RefSeq, a predicted model, not a curated record
CUGUCAAAAUCGCUUGUUGCUUCCUGCCCUAGCCUUAAAAGUAGUUAGCGAGCUAGCGUGUAGCGACUGAUAGCUUACUUUCACUGACAUCUGUUUUGAAAGCGAAAAAGUUUGCUGCGGAACGCAAAUAGAGGCAAGUGUUAGUCGAAGAACGUUUCUGCCGUCCUGUGCCGAACCGUGAGUCCCAUAUCAACCGAAACAGCGCUCUCGAGAAACCGUUGGUAGCGGCUGAAGUACAGCUGGAUGUGACAGGUUCGUCAUCAGGCAUGGACCUCCGGCAGAAGCAGUCAAGAGCUCGCGAGGAAUGACAGCAGAACACAUGGUCAUUAACUCCUGUCGCUGAGGCUGAGGGGAGAGCUGCGCUGUAGCUCCGCGUCACAGAAGCACCGGGAGCGUCCUGCGUUUGGGACAGCAGACAGACAGACAGACACAGAGCUACGGGACCCCCGGUGAAAGGAGAUCACUGACAGAAAGUGCCUUGUGAGACAGCAUCCCUACUUGAAGAUCGCUGAGUGUUUCUGAAGAACUCCAGAUUUUUUUUUUUUGCCCUCUGCGAUCGUGACGCCACACGGCUCGGCUGUGAGGAUCGCUGACCCUUGAUUUGUCCUCACCUAUGAUCUGUGUGAAGGAAAAGUAAAGAGCUGCUGGAGCUGCUGCAUAGCUGGCCAACGUGCCAAAGCUCAGAGAGAGGGUAACAAUAAAAAGCCACAAACUUUGUAUUAUCCUGAACUGUGCCAUUGUACCUCAAAAUAACCCUGAUAUCCACCCCUUGCAAAGAUAUCAUCACUCACGCAGAGGACAUUUUGGGGACACGGGUACAUCGACUAAAGCUUUUCUCUGAGCAUGCCCCCUCUGCCUUUCCAGACGUUCGCACCUGAGACUUACUGAUUGAUAAACAACUAGCUGUUUGACUGAGAAACUCCACAAUAGCGCAAUAGUGUAGUCCCAUGUUCAGGUCACAGAGACCUUGCCAGUCCAUUACCUCCACGUUCCUGUCUGCAAGGACAAGCCUGAUCCACUGACCUGAAGCAGAUCAUUUAUAGCUACACGUUCUGCUGCUUCUUAGUUCUUUUGUUUUUUGGGGAUAUUUUUGUUUUUGCUUCUUUCUUUUUUUUUACUGGAGUGCUCCUCUUCAGAGGAUAACCUCCACAUUAAACCUAGUGGCUCUGCUGCAACCCGGCUCUACAGCCAGCGCUGUUGACAUGGCUCUAAACAUUGCCUCCAUACGGGACACAAAAUGGCUGACCCUGGAAGUGUGCCGGCAGUUUCAACGCGGGACUUGUUCGCGCAGCGAUGAAGAAUGCAAAUUUGCCCACCCACCCAAAAGCUGCCAGGUGGAGAAUGGGAGAGUGAUCGCCUGCUUUGACUCGUUAAAGGGUCGCUGCACACGAGAGAACUGCAAAUACCUCCACCCACCUGCUCACCUGAAGACCCAGCUGGAGAUCAACGGGCGAAAUAACCUGAUCCAGCAGAAGACAGCUGCCGCCAUGUUGGCUCAACAAAUGCAGUUUAUGAUCCCCGGCACCACCAUGCAACCUGUGCAGACAUUUCCAGUCAGCCAGGGGCUGGGGUCCAGUGCAGGUUUAAGCUACACACCCUACCUGACUCCCAUGUCCCACAGCAUGGGUCUGGUGCCAACAGACAUCCUGCCCAGCACUCCGGUUAUCGUCCCCGGCAGCCCGCCCGUCUCCGUGACCGCUGGCUCUUCCUCCAACCAGAAACUUCUGCGUACUGACAAGCUGGAGGUUUGCCGCGAGUUCCAGCGGGGCAACUGCGCUCGCGGCGAGACAGACUGCCGUUUCGCCCACCCGAGCGACAGCCCCAUGAUCGACACCAGCGACAACACGGUCACCGUGUGCAUGGACUACAUCAAGAGUCGCUGCUCUCGCGAGAAGUGCAAGUACUUCCACCCUCCCGCCCACCUGCAGGCCAAGAUUAAGGCCGCCCAACACCAGGCCAACCAGACAGCUGUGGCUGCGCAAGCUGCUGCCACAGCUGCAGCCAUGACUCAGUCGACUGCCAAAGCAAUGAAGCGACCCCUCGAGGCAACUGUAGACCUGGCGUUCCCCCACGGCGUCCUCCAGCCCCUACCAAAGAGACCAGCACUUGAGAAGAGCAACGGAGCGAGCUCCCUGUUCAACCCCAGUGUUUUGCACUACCAGCAGGCGCUGGCCAACGCACAGCUCCAGCAGCCCGCUUUCUUUCCCACAGGGUCAGUCUUGUGCAUGACUCCCGCUAGCAGUCUUGUCCCAAUGAUGUACAGUGCUACGCCUGCUACUGUCUCUGCAGCAACAACUCCUGCCACAAGUGUCCCCUACGCAGCAACAGCACCAGCCAAUCAGCCUCUCCAUCUGCAGUAGGGGCCUCAUCUGUACUGCUUGUGUGCUCUGCAAACACACACGUUCAAGCAAAUACACACAGACGAUUUCCGCAGCACCUAACAGCCGGUUCGUAACAGCAGCUAUGUUGGAUCUAUUCCUGUUUUCCACUCCUCUCGGCUUCACCUUUUUACCUUUUCCUGGUUGCAGGAUAAAAGGGAGAAUAAAUCAUGUGAGGCAACAGUUCUAGGCUACACUUGUCAGGGUGAGAGACGCAGGGGAAAAAAAAGAAGAUCACAGAAGCUGUCUAAAAAUGGCCCCUGAUCGGCGGCUCUCCUGUUGCCACGUGUCAAGCAAGAGCCAGGGAAGCAAGGCCAGGUUUUUGAAUGCCAGAGUGACGCAUGUGUGCCCCAUUUUAAACCUGGAAAUUUCAGCACAAUGCUGGCACACCGGCCUCAUGCAGCUGGCAAUCAUUUACUGGUAGUUCUGUAUCGAGAUUAUCCUGAAGUAAG